CGGAGAUUGGUGAGUUGGAUCUGCUGGCUGGGUCCCACUGGCCGUGUGUGUCUUGGGAGGAGAGCCAUGCUAGAUUCCCAGGAGGGGAGAAAGAAAGCUCCCGUUUAUUCAUAGGCCAGCCAGCCCUCCCAUCCUGACCUCUGCAUCCUUCUCCCUCCAGGGGAACCAUCACAAGCCCCCCAGCACUGACCUGAAGACCUGCGACAAGAAGAACACCAGCAAGUGCUCCCUGGGCUGAGGACCCCCUGUGGCCUUCCCACCCUGAGCCUGGAGGUGGAGCCGGGGAAGCCAGGGCUGAGGGACUGCACAGGGAGGGGGGCAGCGGUGCCUGAAAGGCAGGUUGGUGGUGAGGAGCCUAGGAGAAGACAGAGAAGGGAAAGAAGGAAACCAGGGGCCAGGAGAAGUGCAGGAAGGAACAGAGGAAGUGAAGGAAGGUGAGGGGGAGGAUGAGAGGGAGGAGGGAGGAAGGGUAGGACAGAUAGCCUCAGGCCGUGGACUUUUUCUGGUUUUUUAGGUCACGAAUAUAUGUAAAUAUAUCGAUUUAUUUUGAUACUCGAUCAGGUUUUCGAGUCCUGUGAGAGGCUGGCUCAGCCCUACUCUCUGAAGGUUUGUCACGCUGCAUGGUCUUCCUCUGUAUUAAAGGCCAUUCUUUGCACAAAUGUCCCCCUGUUUGGGAAACUUUCAUUGUUGUCACUCAAACCCAGGUCUUACCUCUCCCGCGUUGGUUCCCUGGAGUCUGGCUGGGUGCAUCUCUCCCUUUCCCAGAUGUUUGGCUGGUGAGGAAGACAGCGGAGCAGGAGGCAGAGUGACCUGAGGGACUGAACCCCCUCUUUCCAUCGUGGGGUUUCAGGACUAAGGAUCACUAUGAUCAUAGCCUUGUCCUUAGCACAGGAAAUUCCAAGAGAGGACUUGAUGAGCCCUAGCGUCAGGGACACAACAGGACCUGGUAUGGCUUAGCAGUGAUUAAUGCAAGCUUCUUUGACACCCACCCGCCUUUUCUUUUUGAGGGGCCUGAACUCAGGGCCUUGAUUGUGCUAGACAAAUGCUCGGCCACUAAGCUAAAUCCCCAGCCUCCAUGCUUCUUUGAUUUUGCCAGAAAUCUGUUUAGGUGUUUGGUAGGCAUUAUUAGCUGCUUUUAUAGGGGAGGAAAAUUAGACACAGGAGAGGUUUAUGUAUCCAUAAACAUUUAUUGAGCGUCUAUGUUUCAGGCACACAGUCAGUUAACAUAGCUCUCGGGUGGUGUUUUUUUUUUUUUGUUUUUGUUUUUCUUUUGGUACCAGGGAUUCAACCCAGGGCACUUAACCACUGAGCCACAUCCCCAGCCCUUUUACUUUUCAUUAUUUUUGAGCAGAGCCUCACUAACUUGCUGAGGCUGACUUUGAACUUGUGAUCUUCUGGCCUCAGCCUCUGGAGUUGCUGGGAUUACAGGAGUCUCUGGGAUUAUAGGCAAGCACCACCACUACUAGCCCUUAGGUGGUUCUUACAGGCAGAGAAAUAAGCAAAUUUUAAUAAAAACAGUUAACUCUUGGGGGGUGAGGGAGAGACACACGCCAAAAUUAUCAGCAUGCAAAAGAAAAACCACCAAAACUUUCAGGCUUGAUAUAUUGCCCCCUUAAGUACACAUAGCCGCCCUCCCUUUCAAUGAUACUGGGAAUUGAACCAAGGGGCACUCAACCCCUGAGCUAUAUCCUCAGCCAUUUUUAGUUUGGAUUUUGAGACAGGGUCUAGAUAAAUUGUUCAGACUAGCCUUGAACAAUUCCUGCUCCAGCCUCCCAAGUAGGAAUCACAAGUGUGCACCACCAUGUCCAGCUCAGUAUUUUUUAAAACUGCAGAUUUUUUUUUGGGGGGGGGGCGGGUAGUGGGGAUUGAACCCAGUGGUGCUUAACCACUGAGCCACAUCCUCAGCUCUUUUUAUUUAUUUUUUUUAUUUUGAGACAGGAUCUCACUGAGUUGCUUCGGGCCUUGCUAAAUUGCUGAGGCUGGGUUUGAACUUGCAACCCUGUAAUCCCAUGGCCUCCUGAGCCCCUGGGAUUACACCCACUGCACCUGGCUUGAUAUUUUUCCUUUCCUCCCUCCCUCCCUCCCUCCCUCCCUCCCUCCCUCUCCUCUCCUCUCCCUUCCUUGCUUGCUUGUUUUCUUUUCUUUCUUUCUUUGCUGGUGAUGAAACCCAGGGCCCUCUAAGUGCUGGGAAGGGGCUCUACCACUGAACAACAUCUCCAGCUCUGGACUUCAUCUUUUAUUAAGAUCAAUGAAAAUGUCACAUUUGCUUUGAACAAAAUAAAUGUACCACUUGAAGUGUUGAAUAUUCAAGUGUUAUUCAAGCUGUCAAGACUGACAGCUUCAUCAUACCCCCAAACAGAUAUUUAAAAAUUCACUUUCAGAGCAGAUAUCCAAGUUGGUUGGUUUCUUUUCUUUUUUAGAUAAAUUUUUUGGUACCAGGGAUUGAACUCGGGGGCACUCAAGCACUGAGCCACAUCCCUAGCCCUAUUUUGUAUCUUAUUUAGAGACAGGGUCUCACUGAGUUGCUUAGUGCCUCUCCAUUGCUGAGGCUGGCUUUGAACUCUUAAUCCACCUGCCUCAGCCUCCCAAGCUGCUGGGAUUACAGGCAUGCACCACCAUGCCUGGCCCAAGUUGGUUUCUUGCUAAGUUUAUUGGAAGUGAAAUCUUAUAAGAUCACAGGGGUUACCCAGGCUCAAUGGUACAUGCCUAUAAUACCAGAGACAGGACAGCAAGUUUGAGGCCAGCCUAAGCCCUAAGCAAUUUAGCAAGACCCCACCUCAAAAAAUAAAUAAGUAAAUCAGGUGGGGGAUGUUGCUCAGUGGUAAAGUACCUCUGGUUCAAUUCCCAGUGCAAAAAAAAAAAAAAAAAAUCACACAGAACAACUUUCCAUGAGAUAAAGUAGAUGUAAGAUUACGCUAAGGAAUAACAAAUGCUAGCAUAGUGGGCCCACUGACUCUGGAGGCUGAGGCAGGAGGGUUAUAAGUUCAAGGCCAGCCUCAGCAAUUUAGUAAGAUCCUAUCUCAAAAAAUAAAGAGGGUUGGGGAAUGUACUUCAUGGAUAAAGUACCCCUGGGUUCAAUCCCCAGUACUGAGAAAAUAAAAACUCUAUCCUACCUAAAAACCAGGGGAAAAAAGCCACAACCAAUUUUCUGUAAUGUAUAAACAUGAGACACAUGGGGCGUGAUUAUUACAAAUCAAGGUAGCCAUGCAGUCCUUGGUUACCAGGUCUUGUGAUCAUGCUGGAAAAUUUUCAGAUAUGUUGCUAAGAGUACCUGGUAUGAGAAGGGAUAGGAAAGAGGGGAAAGGGGACACUAAUAUAUAUAUAUAUAUA
RNAcentral lists this long non-coding RNA (3330 nucleotides) under Marmota monax (woodchuck). Lineage: Eukaryota; Metazoa; Chordata; Mammalia; Rodentia; Sciuridae. The record is from RNAcentral.